GGGUACUUUUCUCCCAUUUUGACGUUCAAAGCAUUUACCCAUUAAAGGGUGAAAAUUUUCUUGGAGUUUCUCACUAAUCAUUUAGACUCAGCAAUGAGAACUGUUUGUGUGGAACUAACAUAAUUGGAAACGGGUUUGGUAGUAAAGAAUGCGCUGCACAAAAUGAAUAAGAACCGAGGACCCCAGGUUGGAAAGAAUACAAAUCAUCUGCUACCAAAUGUGCUGCUGCUA
Long non-coding RNA from Aedes aegypti (yellow fever mosquito), 231 nucleotides. RefSeq lists it as uncharacterized. The record is from RefSeq and is a predicted model, not a curated record. The transcript has 2 exons. Lineage: Eukaryota; Metazoa; Arthropoda; Insecta; Diptera; Culicidae.